RNAcentral lists this long non-coding RNA (207 nucleotides) under Theobroma cacao (cacao). RNAcentral describes it as "long non-coding RNA (TCAC_LNC001303)". The record is from RNAcentral. Lineage: Eukaryota; Viridiplantae; Streptophyta; Magnoliopsida; Malvales; Malvaceae.
UCGGCCAAGGUGUCCCUGAGAAUGGAUUUAUGGCACAAGCCUAGUUUUUAUGAAAUUCAUAAGCCUCUUUACGUAUUUUAAAUGAAAUGUAUUCUAAUGUUGUGACCCAGUUUACGAUGAUUUACUUUAUUGUCUCCAUGUACUCAACUCUAGAUGUUUAUGAUGAUGUCUGUUUACUCAUUAGGAUUUUAUAAUCUCACCACCCUC